Molecule: ribosomal RNA, 489 nt
Filed under: uncultured bacterium
Lineage: Bacteria
Description: bacterial SSU rRNA
Rfam family: Bacterial small subunit ribosomal RNA
Source: RNAcentral
GAUGAACGCGUAGCGGCAGGCUUAAACACAUGCAAGUCGAGGGGCAUCGAGUAGAGUAGCUAAUACUUUUGUCGGCGACCGGCGGACGGUGCGUAACGCGUAUGCAACCUACCUUAUACAGGGGGAUAACCUUUCGAAAGGGAGACUAAUACCUGAUGGUGUUCAAAUUCCGCAUGUUAUUUGAACUAAAGAUUUAUCGGUAACGGAUAGGCUCGCGUGACAUUAGCUAGAUGGCGGGUAACGGCCCACCAUGGCAACGAUGUCUAGGGGUUCUGAGAGGAAGGUCCCCCACACUGGAACUGAGACACGGUCCAGACUCCUACGGGAGGCAGCAGUGAGGAAUAUUGGUCAAUGGUCGAGGGACUGAACCAGCCAUGCCGCGUGAAGGUGACGGCCCUAUGGGUCUUAAACUUCUUUUGUAAGGGAGCAAUAAGUUCUACGUGUAGGAUGAUGAGAGUACCUUACGAAUAAGCAUCGGCUAACUCCGUG